GUGAACUCAUCUUCGGGGGUAGAGCACUGUUUCGACUAGGGGGUCAUCCCGACUUACCAACUCGAUGCAAACUACGAAUACCGAAGAAUGUUAUCACGGGAGAGUUGGGUAGGGGAGCGUUCUGUAAGCCUGUGAAGGUGUGCUGUGAGGCAUGCUGGAGGUAUCAGAAGUGCGAAUGCUGACAUAAGUAACGAUAAUGCGGGUGAAAAACCCGCACGCCGGAAGACCAAGGGUUCCUGUCCAACGUUAAUCGGGGCAGGGUGAGUCGACCCCUAAGGCGAGGCAGAAAUGCGUAGUCGAUGGGAAACGGGUUAAUAUUCCCGUACUGGUGAUAAUUGCGAUGGGGGGACGGAGAAGGCUAGGCUAUCCGGGCGACGGUUGUCCCGGUUUAAGGAUGUAGGCAGGUGAAUUAGGCAAAUCCGGUUCACUAUAUGCUGAGGUCCGAYGACGAGUCACUACGGUGAUGAAGUAGCUCAUGCCCCGCUUCCAGGAAAAGCCUCUAAGCUCUAGAUUAUCAUUAAUCGUACCCCAAACCGACACAGGUGGUCAGGUAGAGAAUACUCAGGCGCUUGAGAGAACUCGGGUGAAGGAACUAGGCAAAAUGGUGCCGUAACUUCGGGAGAAGGCACGCUGGCAUUAGGUGAAGUGAUUUACUCAUGGAGCUGAAGCCAGUCGCAGAUACCAGCUGGCUGCAACUGUUUAUUAAAAACACAGCACUGUGCAAACACGAAAGUGGACGUAUACGGUGUGACGCCUGCCCGGUGCUGGAAGGUUAAUUGAUGGGGUUAUCCGUAAGGAGAAGCUCUUGAUCGAAGCCCCAGUAAACGGCGGCCGUAACUAUAACGGUCCUAAGGUAGCGAAAUUCCUUGUCGGGUAAGUUCCGACCUGCACGAAUGGCGUAAUGAUGGCCAGGCUGUCUCCACCCGAGACUCAGUGAAAUUGAACUCGCUGUGAAGAUGCAGUGUACCCGCGGCAAGACGGAAAGACCCCGUGAACCUUUACUAUAGCUUGACACUGAACAUUGAGCCUUGAUGUGUAGGAUAGGUGGGAGGCUUYGAAGCGUGGACGCCAGUCUGCGUGGAGCCAACCUUGAAAUACCACCCUUUAAUGUUUGAUGUUCUAACGUUGCCCCAUUAUCUGGGGUGCGGACAGUGUCUGGUGGGUAGUUUGACUGGGGCGGUCUCCUCCCAAAGAGUAACGGAGGAGCACGAAGGUUGGCUAAGCAUGGUCGGACAUCAUGCGGUUAGUGCAAAGGCAUAAGCCAGCUUGACUGCGAGAGUGACGGCUCGAGCAGGUACGAAAGUAGGUCUUAGUGAUCCGGUGGUUCUGAAUGGAAGGGCCAUCGCUCAACGGAUAAAAGGUACUCCGGGGAUAACAGGCUGAUACCGCCCAAGAGUUCAUAUCGACGGCGGUGUUUGGCACCUCGAUGUCGGCUCAUCACAUCCUGGGGCUGAAGUAGGUCCCAAGGGUACGGCUGUUCGCCGUUUAAAGUGGUACGCGAGCUGGGUUUAGAACGUCGUGAGACAGUUCGGUCCCUAUCUGCCGUGGGCGUUGGAAGAUUGAAAGGGGCUGCUCCUAGUACGAGAGGACCGGAGUGGACGCACCACUGGUGUUCGGGUUGUCAUGCCAAUGGCAUUGCCCGGUAGCUAAGUGCGGAAGAGAUAACCGCUGAAAGCAUCUAAGCGGGAAACUUGCCUUGAGAUGAGUCUUCCCUGACUCUUUAAGRGUCCUAAAGGAACGUUUAAGACUAAGACGUUGAUAGGUUGGGUGUGUAAGCGUAGCGAUACGUUGAGCUAACCAAUACUAAUGAACCGUGAGGCUUAACCUG
This 1828-nucleotide ribosomal RNA is filed under the name Providencia rettgeri. RNAcentral's name for it is "partial 23S ribosomal RNA". The record is from RNAcentral. Lineage: Bacteria; Pseudomonadati; Pseudomonadota; Gammaproteobacteria; Enterobacterales; Morganellaceae.